AUUGAACGCUGGCGGCAUGCCUUACACAUGCAAGUCGAGCGGCAGCGCGGGGGCAACCCUGGCGGCGAGCGGCGAACGGGUGAGUAAAGCAUCGGAACGUAUCCAAUUGUGGGGGAUAGGCCGGCGAAAGCCGGGUUAAUACCGCAUACGCCCUGAGGGGGAAAGUGGGGGACCGCAAGGCCUCACGCAAAUGGAGCGGCCGAUGUCGGAUUAGCUAGUUGGUGAGGUAAAGGCUUACCAAGGCGACGAUCCGUAGCUGGUUUGAGAGAA
This 270-nucleotide ribosomal RNA is filed under the name uncultured bacterium. Its description in RNAcentral is "partial 16S ribosomal RNA". It matches the Rfam family "Bacterial small subunit ribosomal RNA", at positions 29 to 300 of the family's 1533-position model. The record is from RNAcentral.